This 253-nucleotide ribosomal RNA is filed under the name uncultured bacterium. RNAcentral's name for it is "partial 16S ribosomal RNA". It matches the Rfam family "Bacterial small subunit ribosomal RNA", at positions 524 to 776 of the family's 1533-position model. The record is from RNAcentral.
UACAGAGGUCUCAAGCGUUGUUCGGAUUCAUUGGGCGUAAAGGGUGCGUAGGCGGCUUAACAAGUCACUUGUGAAAUCUCCGGGCUUAACUCGGAACGGCCAAGUGAAACUGUCAAGCUAGAGUGCGGAAGGGGCAAUCGGAAUUCUUGGUGUAGCGGUGAAAUGCGUAGAUAUCAAGAGGAACACCUGAGGUGAAGACGGGUUGCUGGGCCGACACUGACGCUGAUGCGCGAAAGCCAGGGGAGCAAACGGG